GGAAUCUAUCCACCAAAAAUGGUCAAAGAUGAGGAGGAGGAGGAGAGGGCACGGUGGAGGGUGGCACGAGUGAGAUGGAGGACAUAGUCAGGGUCAGCAAGGUGGAUGGUGUGGUCAAUCUAGAGAGAGACAGCAAUGAUUGAGAGGUUGAGGGAGGUGCAGAGGUGGGAGAGAGAGAGCACCAAUUGAAAAAAUCGGGGCGGUGGGGAGGUCGAGGA
This 218-nucleotide long non-coding RNA is filed under the name Elaeis guineensis (African oil palm). RNAcentral's name for it is "long non-coding RNA (EGUI_LNC009436)". Lineage: Eukaryota; Viridiplantae; Streptophyta; Magnoliopsida; Arecales; Arecaceae. The record is from RNAcentral.